CCUACGGGUGGCAGCAGUGGGGAAUAUUGGACAAUGGGGGAAACCCUGAUCCAGCGACGCCGCGUGAAGGAAGAAGGAUUUCGGUAUGUAAACUUCUAUCAGCAGGGAAGAAAAGGACGGUAUCUGACUAGGAAGCUCCGGCUAACUACGUGCCAGCAGCCGCGGUAAUACGCAGGGGGCAAGCGUUAUCCGGAUUUACUGGGUGUAAAGGGAGUGUAGGCGGUUUAGCAAGUCAGAAGUGAAAGGCCGGGGCUCAACUCCGGGACUGCUUUUGAAACUGUUGAACUAGAGUGCAGGAGAGGUAAGUGGAAUUCCUAGUGUAGCGGUGAAAUGCGUAGAUAUUAGGAGGAACACCAGUGGCGUAGGCGGCUUACUGGACUGUAAAUGACGCUGAGGCUCGAAAGCGUGGGGAGCAAACAGGAUUAGAUACCCCAGUAGUC
This 440-nucleotide ribosomal RNA is filed under the name uncultured bacterium. RNAcentral describes it as "partial 16S ribosomal RNA". It matches the Rfam family "Bacterial small subunit ribosomal RNA", at positions 338 to 795 of the family's 1533-position model. The record is from RNAcentral.